UCAGGACGAACGCUGGCGGCGUGCUUAACACAUGCAAGUCGAACGGUAAGGCCCUUCGGGGUACACGAGUGGCGAACGGGUGAGUAACACGUGGGUGAUCUGCCCUGCACUUCGGGAUAAGCCCGGGAAACUGGGUCUAAUACCGGAUAGGACUGCGCGGUGCAUGCCGUGUGGUGGAAAGAUUUAUCGGUGCAGGAUGGGCCCGCGGCCUAUCAGCUUGUUGGUGGGGUAAUGGCCUACCAAGGCGACGACGGGUAGCCGGCCUGAGAGGGCGACCGGCCACACUGGGACUGAGACACGGCCCAGACUCCUACGGGAGGCAGCAGUGGGGAAUAUUGCACAAUGGGCGCAAGCCUGAUGCAGCGACGCCGCGUGAGGGAUGACGGCCUUCGGGUUGUAAACCUCUUUCAGCAGGGACGAAGCGUGAGUGACGGUACCUGCAGAAGAAGCACCGGCCAACUACGUGCCAGCAGCCGCGGUAAUACGUAGGGUGCAAGCGUUGUCCGGAAUUACUGGGCGUAAAGAGCUCGUAGGCGGUUUGUCGCGUCGUCUGUGAAAACCAGCAGCUCAACUGUUGGCUUGCAGGCGAUACGGGCAGACUUGAGUAUUUCAGGGGAGACUGGAAUUCCUGGUGUAGCGGUGAAAUGCGCAGAUAUCAGGAGGAACACCGGUGGCGAAGGCGGGUCUCUGGGAAAUAACUGACGCUGAGGAGCGAAAGCGUGGGUAGCGAACAGGAUUAGAUACCCUGGUAGUCCACGCCGUAAACGGUGGGCGCUAGGUGUGGGUUUCCUUCCACGGGAUCCGUGCCGUAGCUAACGCAUAAGCGCCCCGC
Molecule: ribosomal RNA, 832 nt
Filed under: Rhodococcus sp. M_A_02/11_2_2
Lineage: Bacteria; Bacillati; Actinomycetota; Actinomycetes; Mycobacteriales; Nocardiaceae
Description: bacterial SSU rRNA
Rfam family: Bacterial small subunit ribosomal RNA
Source: RNAcentral